This 253-nucleotide ribosomal RNA is filed under the name uncultured bacterium. RNAcentral's name for it is "partial 16S ribosomal RNA". It matches the Rfam family "Bacterial small subunit ribosomal RNA", at positions 524 to 776 of the family's 1533-position model. The record is from RNAcentral.
UACGAAGGGGGCUAGCGUUGCUCGGAAUCACUGGGCGUAAAGCGCACGUAGGCGGACUCUUAAGUCAGGGGUGAAAUCCUGGAGCUCAACUCCAGAACUGCCUUUGAUACUGGGAGUCUUGAGUUCGGGAGAGGUGAGUGGAACUGCGAGUGUAGAGGUGAAAUUCGUAGAUAUUCGCAAGAACACCAGUGGCGAAGGCGGCUCACUGGCCCGGUACUGACGCUGAGGUGCGAAAGCGUGGGGGGCAAACAGG